Molecule: ribosomal RNA, 1482 nt
Filed under: uncultured prokaryote
Description: partial 16S ribosomal RNA
Rfam family: Bacterial small subunit ribosomal RNA
Source: RNAcentral
AUGAACGCUAGCGGCAGGCCUAACACAUGCAAGUCGAGGGGUAACGAUGUCUUCGGACAGUCGACGACCGGCGCACGGGUGAGUAACGCGUAUACAACCUACCUUUAACAGGAGGAUAGCCCCGAGAAAUCGGGAUUAAUACUCCAUAACAUUGAUUUACCGCAUGGUAUUUCGAUUAAAACUCCGGUGGUUAAAGAUGGGUAUGCGUGACAUUAGUUAGUUGGUGAGGUAACGGCUCACCAAGACAGCGAUGUCUAGGGGUUCUGAGAGGAUGAUCCCCCACACUGGUACUGAGACACGGACCAGACUCCUACGGGAGGCAGCAGUGAGGAAUAUUGGUCAAUGGACGCAAGUCUGACGCAGCCAUGCCGCGUGAAGGAAGAAGGCCUUAUGGGUCGUAAACUUCUUUUAUUUAGGAAUAAACUCUCGUUCGUGAACGAGACUGAAGGUACUAAACGAAUAAGCACCGGCUAACUCCGUGCCAGCAGCCGCGGUAAUACGGAGGGUGCAAGCGUUAUCCGGAUUUAUUGGGUUUAAAGGGUGCGCAGGCGGACCAAUAAGUCAGUGGUGAAAUCUCGGGGCUCAACCCCGAAACUGCCAUUGAUACUGCUGGUCUUGAAUACGGUUGAAGUAGGCGGAAUGUAGCAUGUAGCGGUGAAAUGCAUAGAGAUGCUACAGAACACCGAUCGCGAAGGCAGCUUACUAAGCCGAUAUUGACGCUCAGGCACGAAAGCGUGGGGAGCGAACAGGAUUAGAUACCCUGGUAGUCCACGCCGUAAACUAUGAUCACUCGUUGUUGGCAAUACACAGUCAGUGACCAAGCGAAAGCGAUAAGUGAUCCACCUGGGGAGUACGAUCGCAAGGUUGAAACUCAAAGGAAUUGACGGGGGCCCGCACAAGCGGGGGAGAUGUGAAGGAAUUGACGGGGGCCCGCACAAGCGGUGGAGCAUGUGGUUUAAUUCGAUGAUACGCGAGGAACCUUACCUGGGCUCAAAUGCUUAAUGACAAACCCUGAAAGGGGUCUUUCUUCGGACAUUUUGCAAGGUGCUGCAUGGUUGUCGUCAGCUCGUGCCGUGAGGUGUCGGGUUAAGUCCCAUAACGAGCGCAACCCCUACUCUUAGUUGCCAGCAUGUAAUGAUGGGGACUCUAGGAGAACUGCCUACGCAAGUAGAGAGGAAGGUGGGGAUGACGUCAAAUCAGCACGGCCCUUACGUCCAGGGCUACACACGUGCUACAAUGGCCGGUACAGAGGGCAGCCACCUGGUGACAGGGAGCGAAUCUCAAAAGCCGGUCUCAGUUCGGAUCGAAGUCUGCAACCCGACUUCGUGAAGCUGGAAUCGCUAGUAAUCGCGCAUCAGCCAUGGCGCGGUGAAUACGUUCCCGGGCCUUGUACACACCGCCCGUCAAGCCAUGGAAGCUGGGAGUACCUGAAGUCGGUAACCGUAAAGGAGCCGCCUAGGGUAAAACUAGUAACUGGGGCUA